AGUCGAAGGUAGCACAGAGAGCUUGCUCUCGGGUGACGAGUGGCGGACGGGUGAGUAAUGUCUGGGAAACUGCCUGAUGGAGGGGGAUAACUACUGGAAACGGUAGCUAAUACCGCAUAACGUCGCAAGACCAAAGAGGGGGACCUUCGGGCCUCUUGCCAUCAGAUGUGCCCAGAUGGGAUUAGCUAGUAGGUGGGGUAACGGCUCACCUAGGCGACGAUCCCUAGCUGGUCUGAGAGGAUGACCAGCCACACUGGAACUGAGACACGGUCCAGACUCCUACGGGAGGCAGCAGUGGGGAAUAUUGCACAAUGGGCGCAAGCCUGAUGCAGCCAUGCCGCGUGUAUGAAGAAGGCCUUCGGGUUGUAAAGUACUUUCAGCGGGGAGGAAGGUGUUGUGGUUAAUAACCGCAGCAAUUGACGUUACCCGCAGAAGAAGCACCGGCUAACUCCGUGCCAGCAGCCGCGGUAAUACGGAGGGUGCAAGCGUUAAUCGGAAUUACUGGGCGUAAAGCGCACGCAGGCGGUCUGUCAAGUCGGAUGUGAAAUCCCCGGGCUCAACCUGGGAACUGCAUUCGAAACUGGCAGGCUGGAGUCUUGUAGAGGGGGGUAGAAUUCCAGGUGUAGCGGUGAAAUGCGUAGAGAUCUGGAGGAAUACCGGUGGCGAAGGCGGCCCCCUGGACAAAGACUGACGCUCAGGUGCGAAAGCGUGGGGAGCAAACCGGAUUAGAUACCCUGGUAGUCCACGCCGUAAACCAUGUCGAUUUGGAGGUUGUGCCCUUUGAGGCGUGGCUUCCCGGAGCUUAACGCGUUAAAUCCACCGCCUGGGGAGUACGGCCGCAAGGUUAAAACUCAAAUGAAUUGACGGGGGCCCGCACAAGCGGUGGAGCAUGUGGUUUAAUUCGAUGCAACGCGAAGAACCUUACCUGGUCUUGACAUCCACAGAACUUUCCAGAGAUGGAUUGGUGCCUUCGGGAACUGUGAGACAGGUGCUGCAUGGCUGUCGUCAGCUCGUGUUGUGAAAUGUUGGGUUAAGUCCCGCAACGAGCGCAACCCUUAUCCUUUGUUGCCAGCGGUUAGGCCGGGAACUCAAAGGAGACUGCCAGUGAUAAACUGGAGGAAGGUGGGGAUGACGUCAAGUCAUCAUGGCCCUUACGACCAGGGCUACACACGUGCUACAAUGGCGCAUACAAAGAGAAGCGACCUCGCGAGAGCAAGCGGACCUCAUAAAGUGCGUCGUAGUCCGGAUUGGAGUCUGCAACUCGACUCCAUGAAGUCGGAAUCGCUAGUAAUCGUAGAUCAGAAUGCUACGGUGAAUACGUUCCCGGGCCUUGUACACACCGCCCGUCACACCAUGGGAGUGGGUUGCAAAAGAAGUAGGUAGCUUAACCUUCGGGAGGGCGCUUACCAC
RNAcentral lists this ribosomal RNA (1410 nucleotides) under Enterobacter sp. enrichment culture clone HSL80. RNAcentral's name for it is "16S ribosomal RNA". It matches the Rfam family "Bacterial small subunit ribosomal RNA". Lineage: Bacteria; Pseudomonadati; Pseudomonadota; Gammaproteobacteria; Enterobacterales; Enterobacteriaceae. The record is from RNAcentral.